CCUACGGGUGGCAGCAGUCGAGAAUAAUUCACAAUGGACGAAAGUCUGAUGGUGCAACGCCGCGUGGAGGAUGAAGGUCUUCGGAUUGUAAACUCCUGUCAUCCGGGAGUAAGACCUGGCUGUGAAUAGCAGACAGGGUUGAUAGUACCGGAAGAGGAAGGGACGGCUAACUUCGUGCCAGCAGCCGCGGUAAUACGAAGGUCCCGAGCGUUGUUCGGAAUCACUGGGCGUAAAGGGAGCGUAGGCGGCGCGGUAAGUCAGAUGUGAAAUCCCGGGGCUCAACCCCGGAACUGCAUCCGAUACUGCCGUGCUAGAGGAUUGGAGAGGUAGCUGGAAUUCUUGGUGUAGCAGUGAAAUGCGUGGAGAUCAAGAGGAACACUCGUGGCGAAAGCGAGCUACUGGACAAUAUCUGACGCUGAGGCUCGAAGGCCAGGGUAGCGAAAGGGAUUAGAUACCCUUGUAGUC
Molecule: ribosomal RNA, 465 nt
Filed under: uncultured bacterium
Lineage: Bacteria
Description: bacterial SSU rRNA
Rfam family: Bacterial small subunit ribosomal RNA
Source: RNAcentral